UAAACUACGAUUAGAUACCCUAUUAUUUUAAAUGUAAAUUUAUAAGACUUGAGUAGUAAUAGUUAUGUUCUUGAAACUCAAAGAAUUUGGCGGUGUUUUAGUCUUUUCAGAGGAACCUGUCCCGUAAUCGAUAAUCCACGUUAAACCUUACUUAUUUUUGUUAUCAGCUUGUAUACCGCCGUCGUCAGAAUGUCCUAAGAAGGUUUUAAUUUUCUUGAAUUUUUAUUAAAAAUGAUGUCAGGUCAAGGUGUAGCUUAUGGAUAAGUGGAGAUGGGUUACAAUAAAUAUAUUUAUAAUGAAUAAAAUCUUGAAACAGAUUUUUGAAGGUGGAUUUGAUGGUAAUUAAAUUAAUUAAAUUAGUUUGAUUUUAGCUCUAAAACAUGCACACAUCGCCCGUCGCUCUUA
Molecule: ribosomal RNA, 405 nt
Filed under: Podmosta decepta
Lineage: Eukaryota; Metazoa; Arthropoda; Insecta; Plecoptera; Nemouridae
Description: partial 12S ribosomal RNA
Rfam family: Microsporidia small subunit ribosomal RNA (bases 51-405)
Source: RNAcentral